CUGCGGAAGGAUCAUUAAUGAAAAUGUGUUGCCGGGGCCCAUAAUCCCGGCACUAACCUUCUUAUCCAUAACACCUGUGCACUGUUGGAUGCUUGCAUCCACUUUUAUACUAAACAAUUUGUAACAAAUGUAGUCUUAUUAUAAUUAAUAAAACUUUUAACAACGGAUCUCUUGGCUCUCGCAUCGAUGAAGAACGCAGCGAAAUGCGAUAAGUAAUGUGAAUUGCAGAAUUCAGUGAAUCAUCGAAUCUUUGAACGCACCUUGCGCUCCUUGGUAUUCCGAGGAGCAUGCCUGUUUGAGUGUCAUAAACCUCUCAAACCCAAGUUUUGGAUUUAUCCUUGCUUGAGUUUGGAUUUGGGUGUUUGCCAGUGAUGAACUGACUCACCUUAAAAGUAUUAGCUAGAUCUGUCUUUGACUGGUUUGACUUGGCAUAAUAAGUAUUUUGCUAAGGACAUCUUCGGAUGGCCAGGACUUGACUUUUGUCUGCUUACUAAACCUUACUUUAAGUGCAUCUCUGGUGUUACUUAUAGUAUUACUUUGACAUAUGGCCUCAAAUCAGGUAGGACUACCCGCUGAACUUAAGCAUAUCAAUA
This 593-nucleotide ribosomal RNA is filed under the name Filobasidium wieringae. RNAcentral describes it as "eukaryotic LSU rRNA". The stretch from base 152 to 305 matches the Rfam family "5.8S ribosomal RNA". The record is from RNAcentral. Lineage: Eukaryota; Fungi; Basidiomycota; Tremellomycetes; Filobasidiales; Filobasidiaceae.